CAGUCGCCACGGUAAUACGAGGGAUCCUAGCGUUGUUCGGAAUCAUUGGGCGUAAAGAGUAUGUAGGCGGCUUUGUAAGUCAGUUGUGAAAGCCCCGGGCUUAACCCGGGAAGUGCAAUUGAUACUGCUAAGCUUGAAUUUGGAAGAGGGUAGUGGAAUUCCUGGUGUAGUGGUGAAAUACGUAGACAUCAGGAGGAACACCGGAGGCGAAGGCGGCUACCUGGUCCUAAAUUGACGCUGAGAUACGAAAGCAUGGGGAUCAAACAGGAUUAGAUACCCCCGUAGUCCCUGUCUCUUAUAC
RNAcentral lists this ribosomal RNA (301 nucleotides) under uncultured bacterium. RNAcentral describes it as "partial 16S ribosomal RNA". It matches the Rfam family "Bacterial small subunit ribosomal RNA", at positions 509 to 807 of the family's 1533-position model. The record is from RNAcentral.